Molecule: long non-coding RNA, 1011 nt
Filed under: Trifolium pratense (red clover)
Lineage: Eukaryota; Viridiplantae; Streptophyta; Magnoliopsida; Fabales; Fabaceae
Description: long non-coding RNA (TPRA_LNC003711)
Source: RNAcentral
AGACACGCGCGGCCAUUCAUUUUCCUUGGCAUAUUAAUUAUUUUUUUUUUUUAUAUACAAUCAUACUACAGGAGUAGUACUGGUACUACCCUAUAAACACAAUUUCUCUCCAUUCUUAAAACAAGCGGUCCAACUAUAUAUUAAAAAAUCCAAAAUAAAAUAACUCAAAAAAUAAUACAUAUCCAAAAUAAAAUAGUAAUUCCAAAAAUAAAACAUACCCAAAAUAAAUUAGAUCUUUUACAAAACAAAAUAGGAAUUUUUUUUGAACCAAACCCAAAACAAAAUAGAAGCAAAAAACAAAAUAGGAUUGACUCUUCAUGUCUUCAACUUCCUCUGCAAAAUUCUUUGAAAUAUCACUCCUCCUUAUAUUACCAACAUAUUCCUAUAAAGAACAUAAAAAUAGAAUAAUUUUUUUUGUUAGUAAGAAAUAUAUAAAUUUUUACCUAUUGCAAUAAAUAAAAUGAAAUAUAAAUUUGUCAAAAAAUUAAGCUUAUCUAAUAAGAACUUUCAUCUAACAAUAACCUCCAAAAUAUAUUCACACGGAACAAAAAAAAAUUAAGCUUGAAUAAAUAAAACAGUUUAAGCUUAUCUAAUAAGAACUUCCAUCUAACAAUAACCUCCAAAAUAUAUUCACACGGAACAAAAAAAAUUAAGCUUGAAUAAAAUAACAGUUUAAGCUUCUAUCAAAAAAAAAAAAUAACAGUUUAAGCUUAUCUAAUAAGAACUUCCAUCUAACAAUAACCAAGUAUGCAUCAGAAAGAAAGAAAAAAAAUCACUAAUGGGAAAAAAGAAGAAAAUUUAAGCUUGAAUAUUAGUACCUUAUAGAUAUGAGUUGCUGCAGGAAAAGUUAAACAUGAAAAAAGAAAGAGUACAGUAUAUGAGAAAAGAAACAAAAUACACAUGCAUAACACUUUCUAGAAAAGUGGUACAGUACAAAUAUGUGAAGAAAGAGGUAUGUGUAGAGACUUAGCAAAUAUGUGAAGAAAGAGGAAUGUGUAGAGACUUAGCGCG